This 250-nucleotide ribosomal RNA is filed under the name uncultured bacterium. Its description in RNAcentral is "partial 16S ribosomal RNA". It matches the Rfam family "Bacterial small subunit ribosomal RNA", at positions 525 to 775 of the family's 1533-position model. The record is from RNAcentral.
ACGUAUGGGGCGAGCGUUAUCCGGAUUCAUUGGGCGUAAAGCGCGCGUAGGCGGCCUGGCAGGCCGGGAGUCAAAUCCGGGGGCUCAACCCCCGCCCGCUCCCGGAACCUCCAGGCUUGAGUCUGGCAGGGGAGGGUGGAAUACCCGGUGUAGCGGUGGAAUGCGCAGAUAUCGGGUAGAACACCGGUGGCGAAGGCGGCCCUCUGGGCCACGACUGACGCUGAGGCGCGAAAGCUGGGGGAGCGAACAG